This 276-nucleotide unclassified non-coding RNA is filed under the name Hevea brasiliensis (rubber tree). The record is from RNAcentral. Lineage: Eukaryota; Viridiplantae; Streptophyta; Magnoliopsida; Malpighiales; Euphorbiaceae.
CCCUGCCACCGUCUUUACCACGAUUGGGCCGUGACCUCGCUUGACCCGAUCCAGACUCAUCAACACUAACUUUCUUAAUGGGGUCUUGAACACAAGCACCAUUAUCAAUGCCAUCUCAGAGAAUAUCAGUGUAAACAGUAGCUGAAUCAUUUGUUUGUCCUUUUUUGUACUCCGUACGAGAGAGAUGGAGAGCUAAGAUUUCAAAGUAAACGAUUUUGGAGGAUAUGAGCUAACAUGGGGUUACAGCAAUCGAAGUGGAGAGCAGAGAUAAUUGAA